RNAcentral lists this transfer RNA (75 nucleotides) under Dactylosporangium aurantiacum. Its description in RNAcentral is "tRNA-Gly". It matches the Rfam family "tRNA". Rfam says of the family: Transfer RNA (tRNA) molecules are approximately 80 nucleotides in length. RNAcentral also lists the same sequence under 2 other names. The record is from RNAcentral. Lineage: Bacteria; Bacillati; Actinomycetota; Actinomycetes; Micromonosporales; Micromonosporaceae.
GCGGUAGUCGUCCAACAGGUAGGACACCUGCCUUCCAAGCAGACCGUUGACGGGGUUCGAGUCCCCGCUACCGCU